UUCAGUAGCUGCAAGAUUCAUAUGGGUGGUCUAUAAUAAAACUGAAACUAAUGACCAUCUGGCAUCUCUGUUACUGUCAUCUCAUUACCACGACCGGAGUCGUCCGCUGCGCAAGUCUUUUAAAAUACGGAAACAAGCAAAGUCGAGUACCCCGAAAAACGUCCACGCUGUAGGCGUACACUGGGUAACGAUUUGAAUUGACCAGGUUUGUCGGCGCCGGAGUUAAUUGUUUAAAAGACGUCAUGCACACUCACUGUCUAACGUAGUUUUUCGAUAUUUAAAUAAAUUUUUAUUUGUUCUUCAAUAUAAAACAUGUUAGAAUAAAAGGUCUUUUAAUGUAAA
Long non-coding RNA from Malaya genurostris, 342 nucleotides. RefSeq lists it as uncharacterized. The record is from RefSeq and is a predicted model, not a curated record. The transcript is spliced from 2 exons. Lineage: Eukaryota; Metazoa; Arthropoda; Insecta; Diptera; Culicidae.